RNAcentral lists this ribosomal RNA (489 nucleotides) under uncultured bacterium. RNAcentral's name for it is "partial 16S ribosomal RNA". It matches the Rfam family "Bacterial small subunit ribosomal RNA", at positions 30 to 506 of the family's 1533-position model. The record is from RNAcentral.
AUUGAACGCUGGCGGCAGGCCUAACACAUGCAAGUCGAACGGUAACAGAAAGCAGCUUGCUGCUUUGCUGACGAGUGGCGGACGGGUGAGUAAUGUCUGGGAAACUGCCUGAUGGAGGGGGAUAACUACUGGAAACGGUAGCUAAUACCGCAUAACGUCGCAAGACCAAAGAGGGGGACCUUCGGGCCUCUUGCCAUCGGAUGUGCCCAGAUGGGAUUAGCUAGUAGGUGGGGUAACGGCUCACCUAGGCGACGAUCCCUAGCUGGUCUGAGAGGAUGACCAGCCACACUGGAACUGAGACACGGUCCAGACUCCUACGGGAGGCAGCAGUGGGGAAUAUUGCACAAUGGGCGCAAGACUGAUGCAGCCAUGCCGAGUGUAUGAAGAAGGCCUUCGGGUUGUAAAGUACUUUCAGCGGGGAGGAAGGGAGUAAAGUUAAUACCUUUGCUCAUUGACGUUACCCGCAGAAGAAGCACCGGCGAACUCCGG